RNAcentral lists this ribosomal RNA (253 nucleotides) under uncultured bacterium. RNAcentral describes it as "partial 16S ribosomal RNA". It matches the Rfam family "Bacterial small subunit ribosomal RNA", at positions 524 to 776 of the family's 1533-position model. The record is from RNAcentral.
UACGGAGGGUGCAAGCGUUAUCCGGAUUCACUGGGUUUAAAGGGUGCGUAGGUGGACUAGUAAGUCCGUGGUGAAAUCCCUGAGCUUAACUUGGGAACUGCCAUUGAUACUAUUAGUCUUGAAUAUCGUGGAGGUAAGCGGAAUAUGUCAUGUAGCGGUGAAAUGCUUAGAUAUGACAUAGAACACCAAUUGCGAAGGCAGCUUGCUACACGGUCAUUGACACUGAGGCACGAAAGCGUGGGGAGCAAACAGG